Molecule: ribosomal RNA, 365 nt
Filed under: uncultured organism
Description: bacterial SSU rRNA
Rfam family: Bacterial small subunit ribosomal RNA
Source: RNAcentral
CGGGGGGGCAAGCGUUGUUCGGAAUUACUGGGCGUAAAGGGUCCGUAGGCGGUUUGAUAAGUCAGUGGUGAAAGCCCAUCGCUCAACGAUGGAACGGCCAUUGAUACUGUCAGACUUGAAUUACUGGGAAGUAACUAGAAUAUGUAGUGUAGCGGUGAAAUGCUUAGAUAUUACAUGGAAUACCAAUUGCGAAGGCAGGUUACUACCAGUGGAUUGACGCUGAUGGACGAAAGCGUGGGGAGCGAACAGGAUUAGAUACCCUGGUAGUCCACGCCGUAAACGAUGGAUACUAGCUGUUCGGAGCAAUCUGAGUGGCUAAGCGAAAGUGAUAAGUAUCCCACCUGGGGAGUACGUUCGCAAGAAUG